AUUUCAACCAAACUUGCCACAAAGCAUCCUUGGAUAGUGUAGAUUCAAGUUUGUUCAAAUCUUGUCCCCCGGGGGUAGGGCGGGGCCACAAUGGGCGACCAAAGUUUUGUAUAGAAAUAUAUAGGAAAAUUCUUUAAAAAUCUUCUUCUUAAGAACAGCAAAGCCAUGAUUGCCCAUAUUUAUAUGGAAGCAUCCCCAGGUAGUGUAGAUUCAAGUUUGUUCAAAUCAUGACCCCCAGGGGUAGGGCGGGGCCACAAUGGCCGACCAAAGU
Molecule: long non-coding RNA, 271 nt
Organism: Saccostrea cuccullata (small rock oyster)
Lineage: Eukaryota; Metazoa; Mollusca; Bivalvia; Ostreida; Ostreidae
Exons: 2
Source: RefSeq, a predicted model, not a curated record